UGGGGAAUUUUGGACAAUGGGCGAAAGCCUGAUCCAGCAAUGCCGCGUGUGUGAAGAAGGCCUUCGGGUUGUAAAGCACUUUUGUCCGGAAAGAAAUCCUUGGCUCUAAUACAGUCGGGGGAUGACGGUACCGGAAGAAUAAGCACCGGCUAACUACGUGCCAGCAGCUGCGGUAAUACGUAGGGUGCAAGCGUUAAUCGGAAUUACUGGGCGUAAAGCGUGCGCAGGCGGUUUGCUAAGACCGAUGUGAAAUCCCCGGGCUCAACCUGGGAACUGCAUUGGUGACUGGCAGGCUAGAGUAUGGCAGAGGGGGGUAGAAUUCCACGUGUAGCAGUGAAAUGCGUAGAGAUGUGGAGGAAUACCGAUGGCGAAGGCAGCCCCCUGGGCCAAUACUGACGCUCAUGCACGAAAGCGUGGGGAGCAAAACAGGAUUAGAUACCCUGGUAGUCCACGCCCUAAAACGAUGUCAACUAGUUGUUGGGGAUUCAUUUCCUUAGUAACGUAGCUAACGCGUGAAGUUGACCGCCUGGGGAGUACGGUCGCAAGAUUAAAACUCAAAGGAAUUGACGGGGUCAUAGCUGUUUCCU
Molecule: ribosomal RNA, 587 nt
Filed under: uncultured bacterium
Lineage: Bacteria
Description: partial 16S ribosomal RNA
Rfam family: Bacterial small subunit ribosomal RNA
Source: RNAcentral